Molecule: ribosomal RNA, 253 nt
Filed under: uncultured bacterium
Lineage: Bacteria
Description: partial 16S ribosomal RNA
Rfam family: Bacterial small subunit ribosomal RNA
Source: RNAcentral
UACGAAAGGGGCUAGCGUUGUUCGGAAUUACUGGGCGUAAAGCGCACGUAGGCGGCCUUGUAAGAUGGGGGUGAAAUCCCCGGGCUCAACCCGGGAACUGCCUUCAUGACUGCAAAGCUCGAGGAUGUGAGAGGUUGGCGGAAUUCCGAGUGUAGAGGUGAAAUUCGUAGAUAUUCGGAAGAACACCAGUGGCGAAGGCGGCCAACUGGCACAUUUCUGACGCUGAGGUGCGAAAGCGUGGGGAGCAAACAGG